UGGUGAGAUUCUUAGAUUAGUAAGUUCUUUUAUUUCGAUCUGUAUAUCGUGAAUUUGUUUCUAUUUUGUUCUUCAUCUUGGUUAGGGUUUGCGAUUCGAUCGGUUGGGUUUCGUCAUCCUCUUUGCGAUUUUCGAUCUAGGGUUUCAAUUUUACUUAAUCGUUCCUUAUUAUAUUUGUUGUAGUGAUGUUGAUAUCUACAAGGAAGCGGGUGAAACCGUCGUUGAGAAGCCAUAACAACUGAAGAUAAAUUUGAAUCUGUGAGUCAACCAACAAAACAAGACUGUGAUUGUACCCACGGCUUGCCAAAUAAAGUCUUUCGACAGACAGAGGGACUAAGAAACGUUGGAAUGAUCAAAACGACCCACGACUUGCCAAAAUAAAGUCUUUAGACAAAGACUAAGAAACGUGGGAUGGAUUAAACGACCCACGGCUAAAAAAGGUUGGAUGGAUUAAACGACCCACAUGCUUGCCCAAAAAAAGUUAAUAGACAGAGACAGAGACUAUGAAUGGUUGGAUGGAUUAAACGACCCACGGCUUACAAGAAAGUCUUUAAACAUAUAAAAUACAAUGAAUAUAUCGAUGGAUAAAACUGACAAACGGUACACCGUAAAGUCCUUAGACAAAGACUUUGAAUUACACUUAUCAAAAAAAAAAAAAAAAGACUUUGAACACUCGGCUUGUAAUGACUUCGAGUUACCCACAACUUAUAAAGUCUUUAAACAAUGAUUUGAGUUACCCUCUGUCUUUGUUGGUGGUAGUGCAUGUCUAAGCAAAGGAUGUUUGGGGGUUGUAUACGAUACUUUAGUUACCCACGGCUUAAGAAAACAAUAAACGGCUGAAGAAAAGACUUUAGACCGAGACUGAUUAUACCCAUGGCUUCGCUAUGAAACGUUUGGAUGGGUCAAACGACCCACGUCUUACCAAACAGUCUUUAGACAGACAAUGAAUUUUUGGAUUGAUAGAAGGACCAACGGCUUACAAGAACAUCUUU
Long non-coding RNA from Raphanus sativus (radish), 992 nucleotides. RefSeq lists it as uncharacterized. The transcript is spliced from 3 exons. Lineage: Eukaryota; Viridiplantae; Streptophyta; Magnoliopsida; Brassicales; Brassicaceae. The record is from RefSeq and is a predicted model, not a curated record.